Molecule: ribosomal RNA, 824 nt
Filed under: Cordyceps amoene-rosea
Lineage: Eukaryota; Fungi; Ascomycota; Sordariomycetes; Hypocreales; Cordycipitaceae
Description: LSU rRNA
Rfam family: Eukaryotic large subunit ribosomal RNA
Source: RNAcentral
CAACGGCGUAGUGGUGCGGCAACAGCUCAUAUUUGAAAUCUGCCCUCGUGUCCGUCGGUUGUAAUUUGUAGAGGAUGCUUUUGGCGAGGUGCCUUCCGAGUUUCCCUGGAACGGGACGCCAUAGAGGGUGAGAGCCCCGUCUGGUCGGACACCGAGCCUCUGUAAAGCUCCUUCGACGAGUCGAGUAGUUUGGGAAUGCUGCUCAAAAUGGGAGGUAUAUGUCUUCUAAAGCUAAAUAUUGGCCAGAGACCGAUAGCGCACAAGUAGAGUGAUCGAAAGAUGAAAAGCACUUUGAAAAGAGGGUUAAAAAGUACGUGAAAUUGUUGAAAGGGAAGCGCCUAUGACCAGACUUGAGCCCGGUGAAUCAUCCAGCGUUCUCGCUGGUGCACUUUGCCGGGUCCAGGCCAGCAUCAGUUUGGCGCGGGGGAUAAAGGUGGUGGGAAUGUGGCUCCCUCGGGAGUGUUAUAGCCCGCUACGUAAUACCCUGCGCCGGACUGAGGUACGCGCAUUGCAAGGAUGCUGGCGUAAUGGUCAUCAGCGACCCGUCUUGAAACACGGACCAAGGAGUCGUCUUCGUAUGCGAGUGUUCGGGUGUCAAACCCCUACGCGUAAUGAAAGUGAACGCAGGUGAGAGCUUCGGCGCAUCAUCGACCGAUCCUGAUGUUCUCGGAUGGAUUUGAGUAAGAGCAUACGGGGCCGGACCCGAAAGAAGGUGAACUAUGCCUGUAUAGGGGUGAAGCCAGAGGAACUCUGGUGGAGGCUCGCAGCGGUUCUGACGUGCGAAUCGAUCGUCAAAUAUGGGCAUGGGGGGCGAAAGACUAAUC